AGAGUUUGAUCCUGGCUCAGGAUGAACGCUGGCGGCGUGCUUAACACAUGCAAGUCGAACGGAGGACCCUUGACGGAGUUUUCGGACAACGGAUAGGAAUCCUUAGUGGCGGACGGGUGAGUAACGCGUGAGGAACCUGCCUUGGAGAGGGGAAUAACACAGAGAAAUUUGUGCUAAUACCGCAUGAUGCAGUUGGGUCGCAUGGCUCUGACUGCCAAAGAUUUAUCGCUCUGAGAUGGCCUCGCGUCUGAUUAGCCUAGUUGGCAAGGGUAACGGCCUACCAAGGCAACGAUCAGUAGCCGGUCUGAGAGGAUGAAACGGCCACAUUGGAAACUGAACAAAGGUCCAAACUCCUACGGGAGGCAGCAGUGGGGAAUAUUGCACAAUGGGGGAAACCCUGAUGCAGCAACGCCGCGUGAGUGAAGAAGUAUUUUGGUAUGUAAAGCUCUAUCAGCAGGGAAGAAAAUGACGGUACCUGACUAAGAAGCCCCGGCUAACUACGUGCCAGCAGCCGCGGUAAUACGUAGGGGGCAAGCGUUAUCCGGAUUUACUGGGUGUAAAGGGAGCGUAGACGGAAUGGCAAGUCUGAUGUGAAAGGCCGGGGCUCAACCCCGGGACUGCAUUGGAAACUGUCAAUCUAGAGUACCGGAGGGGUAAGUGGAAUUCCUAGUGUAGCGGUGAAAUGCGUAGAUAUUAGGAGGAACACCAGUGGCGAAGGCGGCUUACUGGACGGUAACUGACGUUGAGGCUCGAAAGCGUGGGGAGCAAACAGAAUUAGAUACCCUGGUAGUCCACGCCGUAAACGGAGAAUACUAGGUGUUGGGGGGCAAAGCUCUUCGGUGCCGCAGCAAACGCAAUAAGUUUUCCACCUGGGGAGGACGUUCGCAAGAAUGAAACUCAAAGGAAUUGACGGGGGACCCGCACAAGCGGUGGAGCAUGUGGUUUAAUUCGAAGCAACGCGAAGAACCUUACCAAAUCUUGACAUCGAUCUGACCGGACUGUAAUGAGUCCUUUCCCUUCGGGGACAGAGAAGACAGGUGGUGCAUGGUUGUCGUCAGCUCGUGUCGUGAGAUGUUGGGUUAAGUCUCGCAACGAGCGCAACCCUUAUCCUCAGUAGCCAGCAAGUGAAGUUGGGCACUCUGUGGAGUCUGCCAGGGAUAACCUGGAGGAAGGUGGGGAUGACGUCAAAUCAUCAUGCCCCUUAUGAUUUGGGCUACACACGUGCUACAAUGGCGUAAACAAAGGGAAGCGAUCACGCGAGUGUGAGCAAAUCUCAAAAAUAACGUCUCAGUUCGGAUUGUAGUCUGCAACUCGACUACAUGAAGCUGGAAUCGCUAGUAAUCGCAGGUCAGCAUACUGCGGUGAAUACGUUCCCGGGUCUUGCACUCACCGCCCGUCA
Molecule: ribosomal RNA, 1399 nt
Filed under: uncultured bacterium
Lineage: Bacteria
Description: bacterial SSU rRNA
Rfam family: Bacterial small subunit ribosomal RNA
Source: RNAcentral